GUAUUCACCUUAAAAUGAAAAACUCUUCCAAAGAACCCUAAACUCUCCGCGACCCCAGCAAUCCGGAGAACAUCGCCGGUGCUCCCUAUUCCGGCAUACUAACUUAACACCCACAACACUCCCCUUCUUUCCCCUUACAAUAGCGCCGCAGCCCCGCUCCCCCUUUUCCCCUCUCCGGCGCACACAACACAAUACACACGUACCACCUCACCCACGCCGAAGAGGAGAGCUCGAGGAAGGAGAUGCCGCCUUGCUGCCAGCUCCGUUGAAGACCAGCCCGCCACCACUGUCGAGUCAAACCCGAGAGAGAGAGUGUGUGCGACGAUGAGAGAGAAGGUGCCGUCACCAAACGCGCCGCAGUCGCUGGAGGAGCUUCGCUCUUCGUCGUCGCCGAGGAGGGGAAAGAGGAGCUGCUCCCGUCGCACCAGUCACCGUCGUGCUUCUUGGUUGCCGAUGAAGGAGCCGCGAGAACCGUUGCCGUCGCAGAGGAGGGGGACACGCGAGAGGGGAGCCGUCAGUGUUGUCGCCGUAACAGCUGUUGAGUAAAUCUUCUUGCUUUUUCAUUCUCAGGAAAUCCAAGGAAAUCCAAGUUCUGGGUUGAUUUUUUUCUGGUUCAGCUGCAAGGGAAACUGGUGCACUUCAAGAAGCAAAGGACAAACUUUAAAAAACUGUGGACUUUUUAAACUUGAUGAAACUAAUGCUCUGCAGGGUAAACUUGAUGAAACCAAUGCUCUGCUUGUCAAGGAGCGAGAGAAUGUAGAGAAGGUUACCAUCGAAGCAACUCCAGUUAUCCAAGAAAAGGAGAUUAUUGUUGAAGACACUGCAAAGAUUGAUGCACUAAUAGUGGAAGUUGAGAGGCUAAAGGGACCCAGAAUUUGGAUGGUGAAGAAUCCGAAGAUGCAUCACUUCUACUUUCUGUAGCUAAGG
This is a non-coding RNA of Arachis ipaensis, 927 nucleotides long. The record is from RefSeq and is a predicted model, not a curated record. Lineage: Eukaryota; Viridiplantae; Streptophyta; Magnoliopsida; Fabales; Fabaceae.